GAGGGAAAAUUCUAGAAGGUGGCCAGGAAACAGGAGGUAACUUAGUUCUUGUCAGAACUGGCACUUUGGGAUAGGGCCCAGGUGAUGAUUUUCCUUUUGAUUCUUUCCUCCUGAUGCUGCAUCCUCUGAUGAGGUCAUUUAGCAGUCACAGCAGGUCCUUCUGGGCAUGCAAGCUGAGCCAAAUCUGGCUUGGGCUAGUUUAAGGUCUAAUAGAAAGUUACUGGUAUUUGUAGGAUCACGUUGCCAUUGGACCAAAGCAAAAGCUAAGAGGUUUCCUGGACACAUCCAAGCACUUCAAUGGACAGAGAAGUUGAGGCUGGGGCCUGGGGAGCAUAGUAUCUGGGAGAUGUAGGUCAAUUGGCAUAACAAAAUUUAUUAAGAAAAUGGUCUGCAUCCCACUUUGGUGAGUGGCAUCUGGGGCCUUAAAGGCUUGUGAGUGGCCAUCUAAGAUGCAUCAAUUGGUCCCAACUCACUAGGAGCAAAGGAGAAUGAAGAACACCAAAGACACUGACUUCCCCCGCAUAAGUGUUUGUAUUUUGGGCACCCAAUGCUGUUGGCUUUAAGGACUGGGAGACAGCACUUCUUCUUAGACCCCUGUCACAGGUGGUAGGUGGAGAGGGUGGAGUUACCAGGCUUGAGGACGCUGCUUAAUGGAUCCAGUGUCAAAUGUCAAGGACCUGAAACUCCACCAUAGAGCUGAUAUAGUUGAACUUAGACUUAAGUUAUAUACCCUGUUGUACUGUGCUAAUGAGGGUCUAUGCUGUUGAAAUCAGGUCUCUGCAGGGGUGAAAGGCAUUGAAUGUCCUUAGACCCAUUAUGCCUGUGUCUAGGCAAACCCUGGCAAAAUAAACCAAUCACGGAAGGACAAAUAUUGUAUGACCUCGCUUCUAUAAAAGGACAAGAAAAGGCAAAGGUACACAGACCAAAGUUUAUUAGUGGUUGCGAGGGGCGGGGCGGGGGAAAAGGAGUUGUGUUUCAUUAACUCCCCUAUGUUUGUGAUUUGCAACUUACAAGUUAAAGGAAGAAAUUGGAAAGCAACAUGUUAACUAUUAAGAACUUGGCACCAGCCUGCAGGUCUGUUUCCGCCAGGGGGCGGGGCUCCGCCGAGGCCCCCCCCACCUCACGCAUGCGCGCUGUGCUGGCCAAUCAGCGCUGCGCCCGCUCAGGCAAGGCUGGCUUGCUCCGCCCCCUCCGGAAGUGCCUCAGAGGAGCUUUCCGGUGGCCAGCUGCCUCGCUCUGGGAGUGUUGCCGCUACAGCCUUUACCUCAGCAAACAGAAUCUAAUUAUGGCACCCACUGGAAGAAAGGGAACGGGGAGACCUGGGAGACGCGUGGUGAAGGAUCAGGAUAGAGAAGCCUCUGGCACGGAAGAUAAAAAAGAUCUGAGUGGUUCUGAGCCGAACGGGAAGGAGGAAGGAAAGAGUCCAGUAACUGAUAAGGAUGGAAGAAAAAGACCAUCUGCAGGAUCAACUGAGGAAGAGCUAGGGGCCGAAGUAGAGAAUAUGUUCGAAAUACUUGGAGGUGACAUCACCAAGGCUCUUCUUGAAAAGAGAAGAAGGUUAGAAACGAAUACCAAUGCUUCUCUCAAACUCAGUAACCAGAAAGUUGAGAAUGCUUGGAAAACAGAAAAAGAGCAAAGGCAGGAUCGUACUGUGCAAUGCUCUCAGCAGCUUUCGACUUUUUUUCAGCAGUGGGAUACAGAUGUGCAGAAAGCUGAGGAACAAGAACAAAGUCUAACUAAUUUGUUUCGAGAGCAACAAAAGAUUUUUCAACACUAUAGAAUUGUUCAGGGCCAGCGACUGAAAGCAAUUAAAAUGAUGUAUGAGCAAUUUGUGAAGUUCCUGCACAGCGCUUAACACGGUGACGGUACUUCUUACACAGGAGGCAUGAGAUCGCCAUUUGUUGGGUGAAGAGUAAAGAUUGAAAAACAGCCUCGAGGACCUCGAGAAAAGUUAUGACUCUGCGUUUGAUGAAGCACAAAGUGAACUUAAAGAAGAACUAGCUUUGCUGCAAAAAAAACUUUUAAUGGACACA
Loxodonta africana (African savanna elephant) is the source of this 2033-nucleotide RNA transcript. It is a transcript of the gene named synaptonemal complex protein 3-like, with no coding region annotated. Lineage: Eukaryota; Metazoa; Chordata; Mammalia; Proboscidea; Elephantidae. The transcript has 9 exons. The record is from RefSeq and is a predicted model, not a curated record.